GUCUCCCACGCGCUCCACCACCUCUGCGACUCGGGUGGCCGGAGCACCGCGGAGCCCGGUCCCGUUUUGUCUGGGACGCUGGGGCUGUCGCCUGGGAGAUUUGAAUUUGAAAACGCCGCGGCUCGCGGGAGCCCAGGCGGAGGAGGAGGCCUUGGAUUACUCAGCCCUCGAGCGUCCAUUGGCGGUCAUUGGAAGAGGGGUCCAGGAGGUGGAAGAGCUCCGGACUUGACUCUGAACCUUAUGGAGCAAAUGCGACCCUCUUACCAGGUUUAGACUGGCUUCCUUACCUGCCACCUGUCCUUUUAGGCUCCCUCCCUCCCGCUAUCCAGCCUUCCCCGGGUACAUCCAACCCUCGGUCGGUCAAUAGCCACAGAGGACAGAAACUCCUUGGCGUUGCUCAGCAUUUACUGGCUCCUCCCUCCUAUCCCUACUCCUCUGGCUCCCCGAGUCUCUGCUUCUCACUCCCCUCAUCCCUACACCCCUGACCUGGAUGCAGACAGGAUCCCAGUCCAAGCCUAGAGGUGUCAGCGGUGGGCCGGAGGUGACACCACUGUUCUCUCUUUAGGCUGCGGGAUUGAAUGUGUUGCCCUUGAAGAAGGAGACACCUGAUUUAUUAUAAUACACAAGCCUGGUUAGCUCAGCAAGAAACUAGAGAAUGCUCCCCUGCUACUGAAAGAACAAGGGAUAGACAGGAAAGAAACUACCAGUUAUUGAGAAUCCAGUGUGCUGCAAACUCUACAGGAUGAACUUACCUAGUCCUCACACCACCCUUAGGUGGCAGACGUUUUUAUAUCCAUUUUGCAAAUGAGGAAAUUGGGCCUCAGAGAAGUGAAGGAAUUUGCUCAGGACCACAUAGCUAGUUGGCAGAGCUGAGAUUCAAAAGCAGAUCACACGUGACAAAAUUGCAUAGAUCUAAAUAUAUACUCACACAAAUGAGGAGUGAAUGUAAAACUGGUGACAUUUGAAUAAACCCCUAGGAUUGUACUGAUGUCAAUGUCGUGGUUGUGAUAUUAUACUACAAUUAUGCAAAAUGUUAUCAUGGGGGGAAAUAGGGCAAAAGGUCUAUAAGGGGUCUUUCUGCAUUAUUUCUUACAAAUUAAUGUGAAUCUACAGUUAACUUGAAGUUUUAGAGGAGUUCCCUGGUGGUCUAGUGGUCAGGAUUUGAUUUUAGUGCUUUCACUGCUACUGCCCAGGUUCAAUCCCUGAACCUGGGAACUGAAAUUCCACAUCAAGCCACUGCAUGCCACCAAAAAAAAAAAAAAAAAAGUAAGAGGAAAAGAAAAUAAAAAUGAAAAACAAAGUUCUGUGAGUUCCCCCUGUGGUGAAGUGGAAAUGAAUCCGACUAGGAACUAUGAGAUUGUGGGAUUGAUCUGGCCUCGAUCAGUGGGUUAAGGAUUUGGCACUGCCGUGAGCUGUGGUGUAGGUCACAGAUGCGGCUUGGAUCCCACACUCAUGCACUUUAUGUGUGGAUGUUCAGUCCAGUAAUAAUUACACAACACACAUGCAUGCCAUUUGUUAUGGGAAUAGCUAACCUGUUAUCAGAUUCCUUAUGUAGACAUCAUCUUAUAAGAGAGUAUAUUCACUGAGGGCUUAAACAGCCAACAGUCUUAGAAGGUAAGAAAGAAGAGAUGUUUUUUCUUAUUAGAGACCCAAUCUUGCCAUGGGAGCUCAUCCUACAAGUUCUCCAAGUUGUUUUUUGUUUUUUGUUUUUUGGUUUUGUUUUGUUUUUUUUUUUUGCCACAUCCA
This 1746-nucleotide long non-coding RNA is filed under the name Sus scrofa (pig). RNAcentral describes it as "lncRNA (ENSSSCG00045011739.1)". Lineage: Eukaryota; Metazoa; Chordata; Mammalia; Artiodactyla; Suidae. The record is from RNAcentral.